RNAcentral lists this ribosomal RNA (359 nucleotides) under uncultured bacterium. RNAcentral's name for it is "bacterial SSU rRNA". It matches the Rfam family "Bacterial small subunit ribosomal RNA", at positions 29 to 414 of the family's 1533-position model. The record is from RNAcentral.
AACGAACGCUGGCGGCAGGCCUAACACAUGCAAGUCGAACGCCGUAGCAAUACGGAGUGGCAGACGGGUGAGUAACACGUGGGAACAUACCCUUCGGUUCGGAAUAACUCAGGGAAACUUAGAGCUAAUACCGGAUACGUCCGCGAGGAGAAAGAUUCAUCGCCGGAGGAUUGGCCCGCGUCUGAUUAGCUUGUUGGUGAGGUAAUGGCUCACCAAGGCGACGAUCAGUAGCUGGCCUGAGAGGAUGAUCAGCCACAUUGGGACUGAGACACGGCCCAAACUCCUACGGGAGGCAGCAGUGGGGAAUAUUGGACAAUGGGCGCAAGCCUGAUCCAGCCAUGCCGCGUGAGUGAUGAAGG